AUUGCUUCUCAGCCUUUUGGCUAAGAUCAAGUGUAGUAGCAGAAGCAUUAAGGACAUUUAUGAUCAUAACAGUUUUCAAUCUGUGGGCAAUUUGAUAUUUUACCUUCAGCUGAACUUUC
Small nuclear RNA from Heterocephalus glaber (naked mole-rat), 119 nucleotides. Its record names the gene U2. It matches the Rfam family "U2 spliceosomal RNA". Rfam says of the family: U2 is a small nuclear RNA (snRNA) component of the spliceosome (involved in pre-mRNA splicing). Complementary binding between U2 snRNA (in an area lying towards the 5' end but 3' to hairpin I) and the branchpoint sequence (BPS) of the intron results the bulging out of an unpaired adenosine, on the BPS, which initiates a nucleophilic attack at the intronic 5' splice site, thus starting the first of two transesterification reactions that mediate splicing. The record is from Ensembl. Lineage: Eukaryota; Metazoa; Chordata; Mammalia; Rodentia; Bathyergidae.